Molecule: ribosomal RNA, 1520 nt
Filed under: uncultured bacterium
Lineage: Bacteria
Description: bacterial SSU rRNA
Rfam family: Bacterial small subunit ribosomal RNA
Source: RNAcentral
GAGUUUGAUCCUGGCUCAGAACGAACGCUGGCGGCGUGUCUUAAGCAUGCAAGUCGAACGAGAACCAUGGCGCUUCAGCUUGCUGAAGUGCCGGGGGACAGUGGCGAACGGGUGAGUAACACGUAGGUGAUCUGCCCCGAGGUGAGGGAUAGUCUAUGGAAACAUAGGGUAAUACCUCAUGUGAUCCGAGGCUUGGAUGUCUCGGAUGAAAGGCGCAAUCGUGUCGCUUUGGGAUGAGCCUGCGGUCCAUUAGCUUGUUGGUGAGGUAACUGCUCACCAAGGCGAUGAUGGAUAGCCGGCCUGAGAGGGUGAACGGUCACACUGGGACUGAGACACGGCCCAGACUCCUACGGGAGGCAGCAGCUAAGAAUAGUCCGCAAUGGGGGAAACCCUGACGGUGCGACGCCGCGUGGGCGAUGAAGGCCUGACGGUUGUAAAGCCCUUUUCUCGACGAAGAAUAAGGCGAGGAGUGGAAUGCCUCGUCGAUGACGUUAGUCGAGGAAGAAGCCCCGGCCAAUUACGUGCCAGCAGCCGCGGUAACACGUAAGGGGCAAGCGUUGUUCGGAAUUAUUGGGCGUAAAGGGCGCGUAGGCGGUGCAGCAAGCUUGGUGUAAAAGGCUCGGGCUCAACCCGAGGAAUGCGCUGGGAACUGCUGCGCUGGAGUCUUGGAGGGGAAGCUGGAACUCCUGGUGGAGGGGUGAAAUCUGUAGAUAUCAGGAAGAACACCGGUAGCGAAGGCGAGCUUCUGGCCAAAGACUGACGCUGAGGCGCGAAAGCGUGGGGAGCGAACAGGAUUAGAUACCCUGGUAGUCCACGCCGUAAACGAUGUGCACUAGGCGUAGGGUGCGCUGAGUGCUCUGUGCCGGAGCUAACGCGUUAAGUGCACCGCCUGGGGAGUAUGCCCGCAAGGGUGAAACUCAAAGGAAUUGACGGGGGCCCGCACAAGCGGUGGAGCAUGUGGUUUAAUUCGAUGAUACGCGAGGAACCUUACCAGGGUUUGACAUGUGUACGAAGACCUAUGAGAGUAGGUUGUCCUUCGGGACGUGCGCACAGGUAUUGCAUGGCCGUCGUCAGCUCGUGUCGUGAGAUGUUGGGUUAAGUCCCGCAACGAGCGCAACCCUUACCGUCUGUUGCCAUCAGGUAAUGCUGGGGACUCGGACGGAACUGCCGGUGACAAACCGGAGGAAGGUGGGGACGAGGUCAGGUCAUCAUGAUCCUUAAGUCCUGGGCUACACACGUGCUACAAUGGUCGGUACAGAGCGUUGCGAGACGGCGACGUCGAGCAAAUCGCUGAAAGCCGGCCUUGGUUCGGAUUGGAGUCUGAAACUCGACUCCAUGAAGGUGGAAUCGCUAGUAAUCGCGCAUCAGCAUGGCGCGGUGAAUACGUUCCCGGGCCUUGUACACACCGCCCGUCAUACCACCCGAGUUGGGGGUACCCGAAGUCGCUUGCCGAACCGCAAGGACGGCGGCGCCGAAGGUAUGCCUGGUAAGGGGGGUAAAGUCGUAACAAGGUAACCGUA